RNAcentral lists this long non-coding RNA (1014 nucleotides) under Sinocyclocheilus anshuiensis. Its description in RNAcentral is "lncRNA (ENSSANG00000008146.1)". Lineage: Eukaryota; Metazoa; Chordata; Actinopteri; Cypriniformes; Cyprinidae. The record is from RNAcentral.
UGAGAUCAGUGUUAGCUGAUGCAAAGCUACCUCAGAAGUUCUGGGCUGAAGCACUAUCAACAGCUGUGUAUCUGAGAAACAGAAGCCCAACGAAAGCAGUGAAAGGAAUAUGACUCCUUUUGAAGCCUGGACAGGUGAGAAACCAAAUGUUGAUCAUCUACGUAUAUUUGGAUGUACUGUAUAUGCACAUGUACCCAAUGAUGAACGGAAGAAACUUGAUCCCAAAGCAAAGAAAUGUAUCCUUCAGGGCUAUGGAACAGACACGAAAGGAUAUCGACUUUAUGAUACACAACUUGCAAAGGUGUUCUACAGCCGAGAUGUUAUAUUCAAUGAGUCUGAUCAUGCAGUUGAGAAGGAGCCUAAUGCAAGUGAAGAAAACAUUGUGAAACGGUAUGUGGAAUUUGACUGUCGAGAUCCUUACAGUGAGGACUCAGCGGAACAAGAUAUCCAAAGAUCAGCAAGAGUGAGAAAACCACCUGACUAUUAUUCGACACAAUUUCAGUCUGCUGUUGGUAGUCUGCUUUAUUUGUCAACAAGAACAAGACCAGACAUUGCUUAUGCUGUGAACAAUGUUGCGAGAUUCUGUGCUAAACCCGCAAAGCAUCACUGGACUGCUGUCAAACGGAUCAUGAGAUACCUGAAUGGCACUCUAAAUCUAGGUCUGCUGUAUAGCAAAGAAAAGCCAAAGGAAUGCAUUGGAUUUUCUGAUGCAGAUUGGGCUGGACACCAAGAUGAUCGCAAAUAUGUAUCAGGAUACAUGUUUCAAAUCAGUGGAGCAGCGGUGAGUUGGAGAAGCAAGAAACAGACAUGUGUAGCUCUCUCUACUGCUGAAGCUGAGUACAUGGCAUUGGCAAGUGCAGCUCAAGAAGCAGUUUGGAUGCGACAACUGUUGACAGAUUUAAAGGUCAACCAAACAGGACCGACGUUGAUGUUUGAGGAUAAUCAGUCUGCUAUCUGUAUGGCAAAGAACCCACAAUUUCAUGGACGUGCCAAACACAUUGACAUCAAGUACCA